CAGCAAUAAAUGUGUAGUAUACAGUGUCAUUUACAACUCGGUUAAAUUUUUAGGCAUAGUUUUCAGUGUGGGAACUUGUUCUACGGGCUAGAUUACCCAGGGAAUAAGACAUAUCAUAAAAUCACGUGACAACUUCGGACACCAGGUGUGAAAUCAUAUACUAUUACCUGCUACUCUAAUAAAUGAUACCCCGAUCUAAGAAGGUCACAAAUACUUUUUAUUUUCUUUCAAAAUGAAAAUAAGACAAAAAGGGGGUGGUUUAAUUUUUUUUAUGAAAAACUACAUUAACCUACCUGCGAGAGAGUACCACGUUGGAAACUUGACAAGGCGGACUGGUCCUUGUUUGAGAAUCUCUGUCAAGCGGAACUUCAGUCAAAGAUGUUUGAGACUGUACAAGAUCCAAUUUUAACUUUUAAUACAGUUUUAACGUCAAUUGCUGACAGAACUAUUCCUAAGACCUCGGCAAAUCCGAAACAUCCCAGCAAACCAUGGUUUGAUGACGCUUGUGAUCAAGCCAUAGGUGACCGUAAAAAAUCUGAAAGACGGUUCAAUCAACAACCAACGACGGAAAACUUGAGUAAUUUCCGUAUUUUUCGCGCUAAGGCACGGCGGACAUGUAGGCAAGCCCGACG
RNAcentral lists this long non-coding RNA (632 nucleotides) under Mytilus galloprovincialis (Mediterranean mussel). The record is from RNAcentral. Lineage: Eukaryota; Metazoa; Mollusca; Bivalvia; Mytilida; Mytilidae.